Molecule: ribosomal RNA, 567 nt
Filed under: uncultured archaeon
Lineage: Archaea
Description: bacterial SSU rRNA
Rfam family: Archaeal small subunit ribosomal RNA
Source: RNAcentral
CGCGAAUUCGCCCUUCGGGGUGCCCAGGCGCGAAAACUUUACAAUGCCGGCAACGGCGAUUAGGGAACCUCGAGUGCCAGGUUACAAAUCUGGCUGUCGUGAUGCCUAAAAAGCAUUGCAUAGCAAGGGCCGGGCAAGACCGGUGCCAGCCGCCGCGGUAACACCGGCGGCUCGAGUGGUAACCGUUAUUAUUGGGUCUAAAGGGUCUGUAGCCGGCCGGAUAAGUCUCUUGGGAAAUCUGGCAGCUUAACUGUCAGGCUUUCAGGAGAUACUGCCUGGCUCGAGGCCGGGAGAGGUGAGAGGUACUUCAGGGGUAGGGGUGAAAUCUUGUAAUCCUUGAAGGACCACCAGUGGCGAAGGCGUCUCACCAGAACGGACCUGACGGCAAGGGACGAAAGCUAGGGGCACGAACCGGAUUAGAUACCCGGGUAGUCCUAGCCGUAAACGAUACUCGCUAGGUGUCGGCCACGGUGCGACCGUGGUCGGUGCCGUAGGGAAGCCGUGAAGCGAGCCACCUGGGAAGUACGGCCGCAAGGCUGAAACUUAAAGGAAUUGGCGGGGGAGCAC